CAUGCUAGAGCACUUUUUCAAUGUGCUCUCCAACGAGAAAGCGACGACGCAUUCGUAUGUCAAUCCAUAUUAGCUUUCGAUGCCAUUGACUGCGCUUACCAUGGUGACCACGGGUAAUGGGGAAUCAGGGUUCCAUUCCAUACAGGGACCCUGACAAAUGGCUACCACAUGCAAGGAAGGCAG
RNAcentral lists this ribosomal RNA (183 nucleotides) under Pelobates cultripes (western spadefoot toad). RNAcentral's name for it is "SSU_rRNA_eukarya". It matches the Rfam family "Eukaryotic small subunit ribosomal RNA", at positions 248 to 428 of the family's 1831-position model. Lineage: Eukaryota; Metazoa; Chordata; Amphibia; Anura; Pelobatidae. The record is from RNAcentral.